GUCGAGCGAACAGAAAAGGAGCUUGCUCCUUUGACGUUAGCGGCGGACGGGUGAGUAACACGUGGGCAACCUACCCUAUAGUUUGGGAUAACUCCGGGAAACCGGGGCUAAUACCGCAAUAAUCUCUUUUGCUUCAGGGGGAAAGACUGAAAGACCGUUUCGGCUGUCGCUAUAGGAUGGGCCCGCGGCGCAUUAGCUAGUUGGUGAGGUAACGGCUCACCAAGGCGACGAUGCGUAGCCGACCUGAGAGGGUGAUCGGCCACACUGGGACUCACACCCGGCCCAGACUCCUACGGGGGGCAGCAGUAGGGAAUCUUCCCCAAUGGGCGAAAGCCUGAUGGAGCGACGCCGCAUGAGUGAUGAAGGUUUUCGGAUCGUAAAACUCUGUUGUAAGGGAAGAACAAGUACAGUCGUAACUGGCUGUACCUUGAGGGUACCUUAUUAGAUAGCUACGGGUAACUACGUGCCAGCAGCCGCGGUAAUACGUAGGUGGCAUGCGUUUUCCGGAAUUAUUGGCCGUAAAGCGCGCGCACCCGGUCCUUUAAUUAUGAUGUGAAACUCCAGGGGUCAACCGUGGAGGGUCAUUGGAAACUGGGGGACUUGAGUGCAGAAGAGGAAAGUCGACUCUCAAGUGUAGCGGUGAAAUGCGUAGAAACCUGGAGGAACACCAGUGGCGAAGGCGACUUUUCGGUUCUGUGACUGACGCCGGGGUGCCAAAGCGUGGGGAGCAAAACAGGAUUAGAUUACCCUGGUAGUCCACGCCCUAAAAGCUGAGUCGAUAGGGAGAGGGGGUUUCCGCGCCUUAGUGCUGCAGGUAAGCUACCCCUUUAACUCUCCCCCCGGGGAAGUCCGUCCCCAGUGGGUUAAACUUAAAAGAAUUGGCGGGGGGCCCCCCCAACCGGGGGACCUUUUGUUUAAUUUGGAUCCACCCGGAGGACCUUUCCAUGUUCUGGCCUUCCAUAGACCUUUGCAGAGAUGUAGUGGCCCCUUCGGGAACUCUGAUACCGGUUCGGCCAGGGUGUUGUCCAGUCCCCGGAUCUUGGGUAAAUUUGGGUUUAAUUCCCCAACGGGGCCAACCCUUUUCUUUUGUUUCCCGCCGCACUCUAAGGUGACUGCCGGAGACAAACCCGGGGAAGGUGGGGAGGAAGUGGGGAUGACGUCAAGUCAUCAUGGCCCUUACGACCAGGGCUACACACGUGCUACAAUGGGCGAUACAAAGGGUAGCCAACUCGCGAGAGGGAGCUAAUCUCAUAAAGUCGUUCUUAGUUCGGAUUGGAGUCUGCAACUCGCCUCCAUGAAGUCGGAAUCGCUAGUAAUCGCGGAUCAGAAUGCCGCGGUGAAUACGUUCCCGGGCCUCGUACACACCGCCCGUCACACCACGGGAGUGAAGUCGGUGAGGUAACCUUUUGGAGCC
This 1414-nucleotide ribosomal RNA is filed under the name Lysinibacillus sp. RNAcentral describes it as "partial 16S ribosomal RNA". It matches the Rfam family "Bacterial small subunit ribosomal RNA". The record is from RNAcentral. Lineage: Bacteria; Bacillati; Bacillota; Bacilli; Caryophanales; Bacillaceae.